Molecule: non-coding RNA, 103 nt
Organism: Acanthosepion pharaonis
Lineage: Eukaryota; Metazoa; Mollusca; Cephalopoda; Sepiida; Sepiidae
Source: the annotation of a GenBank genome assembly
GCCACGUUGAAACACCUGUUCCCGUAAAAUCACCGAACUUCAGCAACAUCGAAUCUGGUCAGUACCUAGAUGGGUGACCGUUUGGGAAUAUCAGGCGCUGUAA